UGGAAUGUCGAGAAAUAUGCAU
RNAcentral lists this microRNA (22 nucleotides) under Schmidtea mediterranea. RNAcentral's name for it is "sme-miR-1a-3p". Its record names the gene sme-miR-1a-3p. The record is from miRBase by way of RNAcentral. Lineage: Eukaryota; Metazoa; Platyhelminthes; Tricladida; Dugesiidae.